RNAcentral lists this long non-coding RNA (261 nucleotides) under Mytilus galloprovincialis (Mediterranean mussel). The record is from RNAcentral. Lineage: Eukaryota; Metazoa; Mollusca; Bivalvia; Mytilida; Mytilidae.
AAACAUAAAAAUGAGGUCAUAUAAAAAAGAAGAUGUGGUAUGAUUGCCAAUGAGACAACUAUCCACAAAAGACCAAAAUGACACAGACAUUAACAACUAUAGGUCACUGUACGGCCUUCAACAAUGAGCAAAGCCCAUACCGCAUAGUCAGCUAUAAAAGGCCCUGAUAAGACAAUGUAAAACAAUUCAAACGAGAAAACUAACGGCCUUAUUUAUGUAAAAACAAUGAACGAAAAACAAAUAUGUUACACAUAAACAGAC